This is a long non-coding RNA of Apus apus (common swift), 206 nucleotides long. RefSeq lists it as uncharacterized. Lineage: Eukaryota; Metazoa; Chordata; Aves; Apodiformes; Apodidae. The transcript is spliced from 3 exons. The record is from RefSeq and is a predicted model, not a curated record.
CCUUCCUGGCAUUCAUACUUUUUACUAUAAAAAAGAAAAGAAAGUCUGAGAAACAGCAUUUGGCCAAGAAGCAAGCUGAAAUUGUGGAGGGUAUUGAUAAUCCUUGUGCAACUGACAAAAAUGGAAGUCUGAAUAGCUUAGAGAAACUAGAGCACACGAAAAAUGUGAAAACGGAAAUGAUAGCGUUUAGCAACCUGGAGGACACC